Molecule: long non-coding RNA, 719 nt
Organism: Ostrea edulis (European flat oyster)
Lineage: Eukaryota; Metazoa; Mollusca; Bivalvia; Ostreida; Ostreidae
Exons: 3
Source: RefSeq, a predicted model, not a curated record
AUCAAAUGAUUACUAGAAUUAAGACAACGAGGUUUGUAUCUGGUUUACUUAUUUUAGUUUAUAACUAUGUUUUAAUGGGUGUAAUUGAUAUGCAUUUUUCAUGAAGGAAAUAUGAAUGCAAAAUGUAUGUUGUGUAUAACGUGCAGAGGAAUAUAUCUAAAACUUUCUGGAGCUUUCUGGGCUUUUAAAGAUUUGAAGAUUAACUGGCCACUUGUGGCCAAGCUUGUCGGAAGAGAUUGCAGUCAUAUUGGGGGUCGUUGAGGCUGAGAGAGGAAGUGUCACGCAUUGGAGCAUCUUCAAGACUGAUGUUACUGUUGAUGGUAGUUGGAUUUGAUGACGUCAAUGGCGAAAUGACCGGGGUCGGUCAACAGUUCAUCACUGCGGCUUGGCUUGGUCUCACGUAAAUUCAGAUAACAAUUUCCAGCCUGUUUUCCUGUUUACCGUUGAUGUUGCUUGUCUGACCAGAUUUGGACUAGUUCGUGCGCUGUUCAUACUAACAUCAUCGUUAAAUCUAGUAAUAGUACAAUAGCUUAACAACUGCGUAGAAGUCACCCCUGUGCUCAUACAUGUGCGUUUAUAACUUAUUAUUCAGUCUCUGAUAAUAUUCAAAUAUAAUGAAACUUAUUAUUUUUGUUUGACUAUAGAAAAAUACUUGAUGAAGACAUGUCCAUCAACGCUAAAGUAAACAUACAGAUUAAAAAAAAAAACACGACUGGCAA